Molecule: ribosomal RNA, 221 nt
Filed under: uncultured Glomus
Lineage: Eukaryota; Fungi; Glomeromycota; Glomeromycetes; Glomerales; Glomeraceae
Description: partial 18S ribosomal RNA
Rfam family: Eukaryotic small subunit ribosomal RNA
Source: RNAcentral
UACGAGAUCCUAGUAGCGUGAGUCAUUCAGCUCGCGUGAUACGUCCUGCCUUGUACACACCGCCGUCGCUACUACCGAUUGAAUGCUUAGUGAGACCUCGGAUUGGAUUCGGUGGCUGGAAACAGCUCGCUGUUCUCUGAAAAGUUGGUCAAACUUGGUCAUUUAGAGGAAGUAAAAGUCGUAACAAGGUUUCCGUAGGUGAACCUGCGGAAGGAUCAUUA